CAGAAGAGGAGCACUGCCUAGGUAGCUUUAUUUGUGGAGCCCAAACUCCCAAACAAAUAAGUGAGGGAGAGUUGUGCCGAGAUAAUCUUAAUUGGGAAGAGAUUAUCGAUCGUAUUGGCUGAAUCCUUACGAUUGCCACUUAAUUUUAAGUGGAGGGCUUCUA
Molecule: non-coding RNA, 163 nt
Filed under: uncultured Aliivibrio sp.
Lineage: Bacteria; Pseudomonadati; Pseudomonadota; Gammaproteobacteria; Vibrionales; Vibrionaceae
Description: Lysine riboswitch
Rfam family: Lysine riboswitch aptamer
About the family: Riboswitches are metabolite binding domains within certain messenger RNAs that serve as precision sensors for their corresponding targets. Allosteric rearrangement of mRNA structure is mediated by ligand binding, and this results in modulation of gene expression.
Source: RNAcentral